Molecule: ribosomal RNA, 200 nt
Filed under: uncultured bacterium
Lineage: Bacteria
Description: partial 16S ribosomal RNA
Rfam family: Bacterial small subunit ribosomal RNA
Source: RNAcentral
UACGUAGGGGGCAAGCGUUGUCCGGAAUCAUUGGGCGUAAAGAGCGCGUAGGCGGCCCUGUAAGUCCGCUGUGAAAGUCAAGGGCUCAACCCUUGGAUGCCGGUGGAUACUGCAGGGCUAGAGUCCGGAAGAGGCGAGUGGAAUUCCUGGUGUAGCGGUGAAAUGCGCAGAUAUCAGGAGGAACACCGAUGGCGAAGGCA